Molecule: small RNA, 292 nt
Rfam family: transfer-messenger RNA
About the family: Bacterial tmRNA, also known as 10Sa RNA or SsrA, is named for its dual tRNA and mRNA-like properties.
GGGGCUGUUUUGGAUUCGACGUAAUUUAUUAAAAUUUUAAUUCAUGCCGAGGAAAAGUUGGCCUCGUUAAAAACUUAUAAAAAAAAUAAAAGCAAAAAAAACAAAUUAUGCUUUAGCAGCUUAAAUUUAUUUUUAAAAAAUAUGUUAAUAAAUUUACUAUUAUAUUUAAAAUAUUUAAUAUUAAUAAACUAUAAUUAUUUUAAAUAUGUUUAAUUUUUAUAAAAUUAAACUAAGCAUGUAAUAUUAAAAUCUAAAAUUUUACGGACGCGGGUUCAAAUCCCGCCAGCUCCAA